RNAcentral lists this ribosomal RNA (1391 nucleotides) under Diplodia africana. RNAcentral's name for it is "LSU rRNA". It matches the Rfam family "Eukaryotic large subunit ribosomal RNA", at positions 63 to 1343 of the family's 3401-position model. Lineage: Eukaryota; Fungi; Ascomycota; Dothideomycetes; Botryosphaeriales; Botryosphaeriaceae. The record is from RNAcentral.
GAACAACAGGGAUUGCCUUAGUAACGGCGAGUGAAGCGGCAACAGCUCAAAUUUGAAAGCUGGCCCUUUUAGGGUCCGCGUUGUAAUUUGUAGAGGAUGAUUCGGCGAGGGCUCCCGCCUAAGUCCCCUGGAACGGGGCGUCAUAGAGGGUGAGAAUCCCGUCUGCGGUGGGCUGCCUUAGCCUUGUGAAUCUCCUUCGACGAGUCGAGUUGUUUGGGAAUGCAGCUCUAAAUGGGAGGUAAAUUUCUUCUAAAGCUAAAUACCGGCCAGAGACCGAUAGCGCACAAGUAGAGUGAUCGAAAGAUGAAAAGCACUUUGGAAAGAGAGUUAAAAAGUACGUGAAAUUGUUGAAAGGGAAGCGCUUGCAACCAGACUUGUCCGCAGUUGCUCAGCCGGUCUCCUGACCGGCGUACUCUUCUGCGGCCAGGCCAGCAUCAGUUCGGGCGGUCGGAUAAAGACCUCGGGAAUGUAGCUCCUCUCGGGGAGUGUUAUAGCCCGGGGUGGAAUGCGGCCAGCCUGGACUGAGGAUCUCGCUUCGGCAAGGAUGCUGGCGUAAUGGUUGUAAGCGGCCCGUCUUGAAACACGGACCAAGGAGUCUAACAUCUAUGCGAGUGUUUGGGUGUCAAACCCAUACGCGUAAUGAAAGUGAACGGAGGUGGGAACCCGCAAGGGCGCACCAUCGGCCGAUCCUGAUGUCUUCGGAUGGAUUUGAGCAAGAGCAUAGCUGUUGGGACCCGAAAGAUGGUGAACUAUGCCUGAAUAGGGUGAAGCCAGAGGAAACUCUGGUGGAGGCUCGCAGCGGUUCUGACGUGCAAAUCGAUCGUCAAAUUUGGGUAUAGGGGCGAAAGACUAAUCGAACCAUUAAUGAGUAGUUAAUGCGAAAACUUACAACCUUUUUGCUUUCCGCUACUAGGUGGUUAAGAGGUAACUAAAAGUGUUUACCUAGUCCUUCUAUCAAGGGCGACACUGUCAAAUUGCGGGGACCCCCUUAAGUCUAGACUACCGCGGCCCUACUGAAAGGUAGGGUGCAGCACCAGGGCAGGCCAGUCAACCUGUAUCCUCGGGGAUGGUAAUAACGUCUUAGAAUUGGGCAAUCCGCAGCCAAGCUCCUAUUAGUCCUUAAAUGGAUAUGGAGAAGGUUCACAGACUAAAUGGCAGUGGGUUCGGCUGUAACAGGCCGGGUCUAAGAUAUAGUCGGAUCCCUACGGAAACGUAGGCGGUGGAACAAAGCUCGCAGGCUGAUGGGUGCUCUAAGCACGCCUGAGGGCCCGAAUUCCACCGGGGAGCUGUUAUAAACUUGCCUAGCAAGUUAUUGUGCAUGCUUCUGACGCAGAGACUGUGGGUUGGUGAGAGACACACUCUGGGUCGGGCGAUACACAAGCAGACUCUCG